AGGCUGGAUGAUGGUGAUAACGAGAAUGAAUGAAGAUGGUGAAAUCUGGAAUGGUCUAGUUGUCAAUAUUUUAAUGUAGCCAACAUAGGCACUUUUGAAGUGGCCUCCGAUGCGAAGGUGAGAUCAGAAAUACGCCUGUGGAACCCUCUACAUGCGGAUCUGGCAAGCAUUCAACACAAACGCAAUUAGAGGGCUUACCCUUGCAUGAAAUAUUUGCUUUCCUGAUAGUCACUAACUUUAAACUUUAGGAAUGCCAGGGCAUAGUGUUUCUGUAUCAGAACUAGAAUCCUCUACUUCACUUUCUUCAGCUAUUAUUUUUGAAGUUUGCAUAUCGUAUUAAAGUCCCACCAAACAAUAAAUAGGAAAGCAUGAUUUUAUUAAAAUCCUCUUGAGACAA
Molecule: long non-coding RNA, 397 nt
Filed under: Homo sapiens (human)
Lineage: Eukaryota; Metazoa; Chordata; Mammalia; Primates; Hominidae
Description: HSALNT0321916
Source: RNAcentral